GAGUAUAGUUGCCUUAAAACACAACCACUUCUUAUUCCUCCUGAAUCUAUAGGCCGGCUGGCCGGUUCCGCUGGUUGGAGUUGGCAUGUCCACAGGGUAGGCUGUGUGACCUUCCCCUUGGGCUGGGCGCUGAGGCUUCGGCAGAGGGCUCCUCUCUGGCCUUCUGCUCUCUCCCCACCUCGGAGGCCCAUUCCCAGGGUUGCAGAGCUUUGCGUGCUAAGUUGCUUCAGUAGCGUCCAACUCUUUGCAGCCCUAUGGACUAUGGCCCGCCAGGCUCCUUUGUCCAAGGGAUUCUCCAGGCAAGAGUACUGGAGUGGGUGGCUGUGCCCUCCUCCAGGGCAUCUUCCCGACCCAGUGGUUGAUCCUGCAUCUCUUAUGUCUCCUGCAUUGGCAGGCAGGAUCUUUACCACUAGCACCAGCUGGGAAGCCCCAGCACCUUGAGAGGGAGCAGACAUGCACGGGACCCUUAAGGCCCAGGCUCAGACGAGCAUGGAGUGGUUUAUGCCAUAUUCUACUGGCCAAAACCAGUCAUAGGCCACUGCUGAUUCGUGGUGGAAAGUCACAUUGCGGAUACACGGACACAGGGAGGGUGAAGAAGGCUGGCCAGGUGUCACUGGUCUGCCGCUGCGCCCCGGGGAGACGGAGGGGCCCAGUCCCCGGGUCAGGACGCCCAGCUUGGCGGUGUCGGGCACUGCUUACCACUCAUCGCUUGGCCGGACACCUCUGGGGACCCCUGUGACCCUGCCUGAUGCUAAUGCCUCCCUCAGGCUGGAGGCGUCAUCUGAACCAGGCCAGCUCAGGAGCUGGAUUAGAAAUGUGAGUCUUGGCGUCAGCAUCAGCUGCCGAGUUCACCUGAGAUGCGCUGAGUGCAGGAGCUGCGGCUGGUUGCCGGGUGCACGGAGGAGUGGAGAAGACGGGCUGAGAAGGGAGUGAAGGCCGCGGGGGCACGCCGAGCGGGAGGACGGCGAGGCAGGGAGGGCCGUCCGGCUGCGGAGGGCCCGCGCCUCCAGCCUGUCCUUCCAGCGCCGUUUCUUCCGGGCCAGGGUGCGCUCCACUCCCCACCCGGCCACCGUACCUCCCGCACCCUCUAUGCUCAGGGAGCCGCAAAGCUCCUUCAGAUCCAGAUCGGAAUCCACGGCGGUGUCAGCCUGCGGUGUGAGCGGAGGCUUCCCCGCAGGAGCCCCAGCGCCAGCCCUGCGUGGCAGGCAGGACAGCCCCCCGCUGGACGCCCACCUCCUACUCUCCCAAACCUGAGACUCGGGUCACGCUGCAACAGGAGCUACGGCGGAAGGUGGACCCAGUGGCUGAGAUGGGAAACGACCCUGGAUUAUCCCGGCGGCUCCAGUGUGAUUGGAAGGAAACCUCACGGUGGAGGGGGGACGGGAGAGCCAGUGUCUGUGACUCAGCGUGAGAGAGGCCAUCGCUGGCUGUGGACGGACGGAGGGGCCGUGAGCCAAGGAAUGCGGGUGGUCUCCAGAAGGUGGGAAAGGCAGGAAGCGGGUUCUCCCCCCCUGGAGCCUCUGGAAGGACGCAGCGCUGCUGACAUGUCAACCACAGCCUCGGGAGACCCCUGUGGACCCCUGACCCCCAGACUGUAGGGUAAUAAAUGUGUGUUGUUUUAAGCCA
RNAcentral lists this long non-coding RNA (1626 nucleotides) under Bos indicus x Bos taurus (hybrid cattle). Its description in RNAcentral is "lncRNA (ENSBIXG00005008860.1)". The record is from RNAcentral. Lineage: Eukaryota; Metazoa; Chordata; Mammalia; Artiodactyla; Bovidae.